UUCUUUUUUUGUGUCUAUUGUAGAUGUAAUAAAACGUAGGGAAAUAGAGGACUGAAGUGUGAGACAGACCGAAAUACUAGAACGCACUCAUCAAAAUAUUUUGAAGCAAGUAUUAAUGAAAAAUAAGACGUCCUUCGAAUUAAAACGUAUUGCUUAUCUCUGUUUGUAGCACACGUGUCGACAUUGUCGCUGAUAUAUAUCAUAAUUUGACAUUUACUUAUGUACUCCCUCCGAUCCAUAAGUGUCGGGAAGAUUUAGUACAAAGUUAGGAGUAUAACUUUGUACUAAAUCCCCGAUGCUUAUUAUGGAUCCGAGGGGUAUCUAACUAUGUUUAGAAGAAAAGAAUAUAUUUUUAUGUUUGUAACUAACUUUGUACUAAAUCCCCGAUGCUUAUUAUGAAUCCGAGGGGUAUCUAACUAUGUUUAGAAGAAAAGAAUAUAUUUUUAUGUUUGUAGGUAUCGCUCCCCUUGCACGUGUGAAUAGUUUUAUUACACCGAGACAUGUAUGGUUCAUAGCCCAAUUUUAUCGCACUUCCACACAAAACAUGGUGAAAAAACUUAGUGGCCACACUAUUACAGAAUUUAGCCAAGGCACAAAUCUAUGACAUGUCACAACCGCAACACUAAAAUAAAUUGUUACAUUUGUGGCAAAGUUCCGUGAAGCGUAGCUUGAAACUAUAUCAGGGCAUGACGCAAAGGUGUGCUGCGACAAAGUUCCUGGCCAACGACUGCUCCUUAGCCCUGUCCAUGUUUUAAUGCAGGAGCACGGUGUGACAAACACCAUGAGCUAGCUAGCCACACUUAUGGUCAUGCACGCCAUGGCGUCUGACAAUGAGACAACAGAACGAGGGAGUAGUAUGUAUAUAUACAUAGGAGGACAAGAGAAAUUUCUACGCGGGACUCAUCCCAAGAGUCUCCACGAAGCAGAUCGAGCGCGCGGAAUUUCUGGUUAAGUUCGACGAAGCAGAGCAAACGAGGGCCACGAAACGGUCCACCAUAUCAAAGUACGUUUGGAGAAUCCAGAUCUCGGAAUGCAACAAUGCAAGUGAAGGCAGAGUACGUGAUACGGGGACCAGCUAGUGAUGAUGAUAGUCCGCGACGGGACCUUUUCUUCUCCGGCUCGCCGGCGCGCCCCCGGAACUGCCGCCCCCAUCCUUUCCUCUCGCCCACGCCGCUGUGGUGACCGGGCGCGCGCGGAGCCAAGGCGAGCCCGAGCAUGUGUUACGCCGAAGAGAAAAGUCACCCACCGGAAAAGCGAACGAAGAUGCACCGCGAAGAGAAAGAGAGGGAAAAAAAAAAAGAGAGAGUUGGCGAGCGAGCGAGCGAGCGGGCACACUAGCCGACACGCACAGCGCGCCGAGGACAAGGACGCGCCCUCCCAUGAUCCCAUCCCCCACUCAGCCAAUCUCGCCUUGUCCGCCUCGCUCUCUCUCGACGCACACGGGAAAGACCGGGAAAAGAGAAGAGAAGAUAAAGAGACGAGAGUCACGACCCGAACGGACACGAGUGGCCGGUGCGAGACAUCGUGACUCUAGAUACAGCGCACGUAUCGUGUCGCGGUUGUGUGUGACACAGAAGAGAGCGACGGGUCUCGUUCCAUCUCGUCUGCGUCCUCGCUUCGGCUUUCCACGGAGGAGCGUGGGGGUGGGGUUGGGGCCCAGGUGCUCGCGGCACGGCACGGGUGUUUCUUGCGUGGGUGCGGAUCUCUCUGGAAAGCAAAGAGGCACGGCUCGAGAUCGAAAGCACUGCGUACGGGUGCGAGAUACCGCGCAGCGGGAGAAAGGCGUCAUCGAUCUGGAUACUGGGCCGAUAAAUGCAGGAGAAAUCGCCCGGUUGGUGUAAUAGACCAAAGCCAGACGGGAAAAAAAACGCAUUUGUUUUUUUGUUUUUUGUUUUGGGGGACUGGCGAUCGGAGAAGACGUGGACGGGGGGAGGGAGCGAUAGGCACGACACGACCGGAUUGGUGGUGGCACAAGGAGUAGUGUUCGUGGGUGAGCCGAUCGGGGUUGGGCUGGGGUCGAACAGGUCGCCAGCUGCCACGAAGCUUUUAUUGUUUUCUUUGUUUCUUUUUUUUCUCGACCGCGCUGGGGAAGAAACUUUCUCUGUCUGUGUGUUUGUGUGUGGGAGGGAGGGAAAAAGAUUCGUUUUGGACGUCGGACAAACGCUGCGGCAGUAGCAGGGUACAGUCACCUGCGGUGAGCCUGAGUGAGACAACACCUCGCAUGCGACCGCAGAGAGCCAGAACCGCUCUCUUUCAUCAGUAUCUCUGGAACUAAUGGCUCCACUUGAUGCGUCUCGUCAUAAUUUCUUAUCCCCUUGGAGAGGAGUGGGCCACCGGCAGGCCAACCGGUUUAGUAAUGGCCACUUCAUAUCUCUCUCUCUCCCCCCCAAGUGGCCCCCUCCCAGGGAUCUCUAGAAAAGAUUUUUGUUCCAUUUUUCUUGGCAAAACAAAAUCUCAAUAUAUAUAUAUGCUGCAUGCGACUCGUGCACCGAAAGUAUACAAUUUCUAAAGAAAGAAUAGUCGCGACUUUUCCGUGACUUAUGCAAUAUGCAUGCCGUAUCGGACCUAAAGCUUAAUUGGGUUGCUUACUCGAUCUCGGCCUGUCCCCCACCAAUUAUCCCGUCUGGCGCGCGCGCCUUGCAUGCAAAUUCGCAUGACAAAUUGAUCGAACAGAUGCACGUACGGUUCUCAGGCACAAAUUAAGUUGCCAGCUUUACGUCUAAGCAACCACUCAGUGAAUUAUGUGUCAUACUACCAUGUUUUUUGCAUGCUGAUUAAAUUCAGAGAGAAAAGCUAAAAACUAACUAAAUAAAGGAAACGCUGAUAUGCUUGGAGUAAGCCAGAGGCCCAUACGGAAAGCAUGCAUGUGACGAGCGCGUGCCAUACCACUUUCGCCAUGCCCCUCACUCACUCGCUCCAACGUCAAUUCAGCCAUCUUCUCCGGCCGGAGUGGUGCACAAACCAUGUAAAGUCCGGAAUUAAUUUUGUCUAGGGGAAACUUUUUCAGGAAUCCUCAGCUAGCUAAACUUUGUGCUGUUGCGGUCUCACAUGCCACUGUGCCAGGAUCGAACAAAUGCUCGCAUAAAUAAAUUCCAUCGAAGUGUAAAAUAUUUGCCACUAGCGCUACUAGGUUCAGCAAUAGAGUAAGGUAUAGCUCAGCCCAGCUGCGACUACAAGCUGGCACAUUUGACCGGCCCGAUAGGUAAAACAGCUGCCAGCUUGUUUGUUCUAACGCCGACGUCACGAUGCAUGUGUGUGGUCGCUUGAGUACAUAUCUGGGUUGCCCUGAAAGUGAGAUCACCAAGCUAGCGAAGACGAGAUCUUACAACCGGAAGACUAAAAUUACUAGAAAAAAACCCGUGCGUUGCUGCGGAACAAUAAAAAAUUAUACCAAAAUAUUAAAUUAAAUGUUGAUGUGUCACAGGAACACACACACACAUAUAUAUAUAGCGAUUAUGAUAUGUUUAUUUUCGUGAGCUAUACUCUGUUUUCUUUCUCUUUUUCACAUGUUUUAUUUCCAUACUAGUAAAAAGCCCGUGCUUUGCUGCGAAAGAAGACUUUUAAAAAAAACAUGCUAUAGGUUAAUUUUCAAAUAGUGGCGUCUUUUACAUUGCUGCUCUAUUUCCACGAGAAGUCAAGGCAGAGGCACCCUCUUCUCGGACUUCUCUUUCUCGUUUUCUCCCAUACCACCCGUUGGUCUCAAUUCUGCCUUUGGCUUCAUCAACUUACCAUUGCUCCACUCUACUUUGUGUUGAUCUUGAUUCUGGAUUCCAUCAUCUCUUAUAGCACAUUAAUUGUCUAGUAUGAUAUGAAUAGAAAUAGAAACAUUCUUACCGCAUUUAACAGAAACAAGCUGAGGCAAGCUGCUUAGGGUUUUUGCUCGGCACGUAUCUCCCAUGCAGACCAAGGCACCUGUGGCAUCCCCUUGAGUAUAAAAGGAGGACUAACGUCACCGGUCAAGGGGUUCCCGUCUUUAGCCCAGAAGUAGCAAGUAGUCACUUAGCAGAAAGGAAGAGAGCGCCCGGGGACUCCGCCUGCAACCUGUAAAGCACUUGUUUUUUGGCUAAUAAACACUCAGAAGCAGGACGUAGGGUUUUACACCUCCGCGUGGCCCGAACCUGGGUAAACAGGCUUGUGCAUUGCUACGCUCGUCAUUGGCCUCGCCAGUGAUCGCCGGAGCGAUCCCCAACGCCCCCUGCCGAACCGAAAAGGGGGUGCCACUGAUGUCUAAGCCCUGGGCUACAACAUCUGGGGCGCCAGGUAGGGGCAUCCCCGGUGUCUAAGCCCCGGGCUACGACAUCUGUAGCGAUCCCGCCAGCUGUCGUUGCUCGCCAGCAGCUCGGUGGGCGCGUGGAUGAACUCGUCGGGCUCGUCCACGCGAACCCAACACUAGUCCGCACGCCACUCCUUCUCGAUCUUCUUCUCCGUCCGCACGAUGAACUCCGAUUUCAUCUUGUCGCGGGCGUGGAACACCACCCCUGACGACAUCGCACCCGAUUGCUCGACGCGCGGGUAGAAGUAGUGGCGGAAUAACGCCACUGACGGCAUCACUCCGACAAACCCCUCGCAAAGAAAUUGGAAGACGGAAAGGAGGAAGAGAGAUGUGGGGUGGAGCUGCGCAACCCUGAGCUGGUACGCCGCCAUAAGAGCCUGGAGGAAGAAGGAGUAUGGAGGUACCAGCCCAGCGAGGAUGAAGCGGGCAAACACCCGAAAGUCGUUGUCCUGGUGGUCGCCGCCGGCUGGGAAAAUGAGCGUCUCGCCGUACUCGUUGAAUGAGGUGGCGACGGCGUGCCGAAUCUUGUCGACCCCCUCGCCGUUGUAGCCGGGCUUGAAGAAGGCCCGCUUGGCCCUCAACUCCCGGUUCCUCUGAUCCUUCUCCGAGAGGGGCUUCUUGGGGGCCUUCUCGCCCUUGUCGACCGCAGAGCUUUUGGAACCCUUCCCUCUCUUGAGGGCCGUAGGCGCCAUGAGGAAUGUGGGCGGAACAAGCUUCGGACAUUUAUUUAACAAAUGGGCUAGAUGGCGGCUCGGCUGGCUUGGGCUAGGGUUGCGAGGCUACUGCUUGGGCCGGAAGGUGGAGAUGGGCCAAGGGUAGAUGGGGUUGGUGGGCCUGAAGGGGGCUCGGGGUUGCUGCCCGGCGCUGGAGGGCAGCGGCGCACCGGGAGCAUAGGCGGGGGAGCGAGGCAGAGGGGAGGUUGAAGGCGCGGGAGCAAGGGGAGGCAGCGUCGGCGAGGUUAACGGCGAGAGCAGCACGCGAGGGUGCUGGGCUGGGACGGUGACUGGAACUUGGCGACAACGCUGGCAGAUUGCAGCAGCGAGGGAGAGGAGAAGAGGGCGUGACGAGUAAUGAAGGCAGGAGCGCCAGAGUGUGUGUGUGUGUGUGUGUGUGUGUGUGUGUGUGUGUGUGUGCGCGUGUGUGAGAGAGAGGGGGGGGGGAGGGAGGCGGCUGGACAGAGGAGAUCGGGAGGGAGAAAGGAGCUCGAGAGGAGAGAUGAAGGAGCACAUGGGAUACCGGGUAGGACCGGUUGCGUGGUUGGGUGGACGGGCAGGACAAGAAGAGGGGACGAGAGCAAUAGGGAUAGGGUUUGAGGAAGCCCGCAUCGGCUAGGGCUCAGGGGUUAGACGGAUGUUUUUCGGGACCGAGGAUGAACGGUGGCAUAUUGAGCGUAAUUUUAAUGAAGUGACGGGACCGAGGAUGUGCGGUGGCAUGGUAUCAUCACCACCAACUCCAAUUUAAUAUAUUGGUAUAGAUUUCUCCUUGUCCUGCUAUCCUAUUACUCAUAUUCCGUACUUUAUUUCUCAAAUCUCUUCUCCAAUUUCUUGCUCUCUCUCUGACUAUCCUCUCCAUCCAUCUUAAGUGCAAACUUCUCCUCUCCCUGUCCCGAUUCAUCCCGCCACCGAACAUCACGCCGCAAUGCGCGGCCACCCGCUUGUGCGCACCGCCUCUGCCCGUAGAUUCCCGCCGUCCGUCCACUCCCGCGUGCCGUCUGCUCCCACUUUCCGCCAGGUACGCCUCUGCGCCGCCCGCCUGCGCCCUCUAGCAACCUUGCCCGCCUGUUCGCCGCGCCCGCGCGCCGCCCAAACAUCGCGUCCAGCACCCAUGGCUCGCGGUGACGCGGUCCCUGCUGCCUUGCACGAGGCCACCGCCAUCCCGGCCUCAGGCUCAUCCCAUCACCGUCCAAGUCACGCGGUGAGCCACCGACAGCACGAGCCGGUGGAGGCGGUGGUCGGAGCGAGCGACGGAGCCGCGGGUCCGCAGCCGCCUUCCGCACACGGACGCCACCAACGCGCACGAGCUGGUGGAGGCGACCAAGAGCGGCGACGGGCGCGGGCGAGAUCCGAAGGGCGGCGGCGAGAUCCGGAUCAAGCAGGAGGUGGGGGUGAGAUUCAUAGGAGGAGGAGGAGCGAGAAGUGCUCUGUCGGUUUUUUUUUGGCGGUACGUGUUUUUUUCACGCUUAAAAGAUGACUGUGGGAGCCGGGAUUAAAAGACACGUGAGGACAGCGGUGACAGAUUCAUAAUUUCGGUGAAAUGACGUACCGCGACGCCCGUACCAUCACCACCAACUUUAAUUUAAUAUAUUGGUACAGACACAGAGUACUUUUACCAGUAAAAUUCAUUUUCGUUCCAAGGGAGCCGUCCGGCCGGAUAUUGGCGAUAUGGCUGACCGGGCCGACCCCAUUGUCUAUCUUAUCGGGGUUGGUGAUUGCAAGAAGCGUGGACCAAUCAGCUAGCAGUCCAGUCCCGACGGCGAAACCCAUCCAAGCUGCCAGCACGCAUACGUGGUCACGUCAGGUUGUGCGUAUACGUACGACUAGUCGACGGCGUCGUUAACGUUGGGGAUAGCUAGCUAGAGAGGCCGGAUCGAUGGAGAGCGACAGGGGACUCUGUCUGGCUUAAGCUCCUCCGAUCCUCUCGUGCGCGUGGAUCCAGAAACGGGCGAGUGCGACGGCCGAUCCACCGCUCAAAAUCAUUUAUACACGCUUCAAUUAAUUUAGUGACGGCCAAGACUGCUCGGCCGAUUUUUUUAAUUUUGCCGACUAGUAGCUGUCACGUGUUUAUGUCAAAUCGGAAACGGUAGUCAGACGGACUCCAUUUAGUUUUACUCCUUGGUCCUUUCCGUGAAACUACUAAUGAUGCACAGUUCAAUUUGUUUUUCGAAAAAAUAUUUACUACCAAUAUGUUUACUUUGUGACCACAGAAACACGGAUCAAAAGAGGUUUUUAACUGUGCCCUCGAAACAAGGAAAGACUAAUGAGCUUAAUUUCUUUCGGUAAGAUUAAAGGUAAAUAUGCCUUGGAAAAAAAUUAAAUUAAGGUGAAUACGGGAAAAGUGUUUGACAUGUGUGUUCGGAUUAUCUGAACUUAUUCGUGUCGGAGGAAGUAACUUAAUCGUCUGUACAGUGUCUCUAAUAAACGUACUGUACUUCGUAUGAAUUCUCUAUUCUGCCGUGAGUUGGGCGUGCACCAAACAUCACUGAUCGCUAGCUGCCCGGGAAUGGAGAAGUGUCACCAUCACGUAUGCUGUGGUCAUGGCCUAGGCAGUGAUCGGCCGGAGAUUGAUCGGGUAACUCAAAACAUGUUGUUUUCACGGAUACGUGUGGACACGAUGGUAUUAGAGCAAGGUUCAUAAGAGGUCAUCAAACUCUAAUCAUAUAGGUCAUAUUUUCUAAAAUAAUCUUUUAGAUCGUCCUUUGGAGUAUAUAUUUUUUUAAAUAUUUCUAGUCCACUUGAUUUGAAUCUAAAUCUACUUUGAGAAUUUUGAUGACAAUCUUCAAAGUUUCGGGAUAUAUGCAAAGACAUCCAAAUAGUUCGAGGAUCUCACGUAAUGCAGCAUCUCUUUUUAGGGAAAUGAAACGUAGUACUCUAUCCGUCUCAUUAAAUGCCGCAACUUUGAUUAGAUACGCACGUAUCUAGACGCGUUAUAAUGUGUAGAUACAUACAUAUCUACAAAUUUGCAACACUUAAUAUGGGAUGGAGUGAGAGUUAGUACCUGGUAAACUAUACAAUUAGUCUUUAAGCAUGUCCAGUAGUCCCCUCCUCCUUUUCUUCGAUUUUUUGCUACAAAUUUCUGGUUUUAGCUUUCAGAAAAUCUGAGGAGCAUAUGUUCUUUAUCUUAGCAUGCGACUAAUUUUCUUCUGUCCGAUCUAGCAGAUGGACAUUGUUUCUUUGUGCUCAUGCUCUUACUUGAUCGAGAUGGUACACGCUACAACAAUCGAGCGUACCCCGGUCCCCAAUAGCGAUUUCAAAGCUAAUUACUUCAAGGAAAAACUUCUAUUGAGGAGAUUAGUCAAGAAAUUACUUCAAGGAACAACUUCUAUUGAGGAGAUUAGUAGAACACUACAUGUAAGGCAUGUCCACAUUUUGUCAAAUCUUGCCUCAAGUGGGGCAGCUAAGUUAGGCUAGUGUUUAUUUGACAUCAACAAGUGUGACAUGGCUCACUUUUUUAGCAGUCUGCACCACAUGUCACACAUUCAUACUGUUACCAAAGUUUGCCUAACUUGUGCAAGCAAAUUCUGCACCACAUUUUUUAUGCCUCGCCACAAGCCCACAACUUAUCAACCCGUAGUCAGCCACACUCUCGCCAACAUCGGCAACACUGAUUUCCGCACUGCCGUCUGGAUCCUUUUUGUCAGGGACGACUGUAUUUCAGUUCCUAAUCAACAUACCUUUCUAAAAAAAUGGACGGAUUUAAGAGCAGAAGUUAUGAACGUUAUGACAUUAGCACUCGUUCUAUAGUUCACAGGAACAAAAUUGCGUCUGAAAAAGAAAAGAAUCAUUGCAAUCAGAUGGUGCAACAGAACGGAGAACGAGACAUCCAUCUGCUGAACUGAUAGAAACGGCGCAACAACCGACCGAAUCCACCCUGCAGCGGUACCAUGUACCAUGCAUCAUGCAUGUACUUUCAUGUGAUUUGUCUUUCCUGAUCAAUUGCGACAUGGUAAUGAAUAACAAUCAAUUGGAUAUUUCAAGAAUAAUAUAAUUGCCACACGCAAAAUCAUGAAGAAACUCACAACAACUUUUGUUUGAGCAGCCACAGAGAUCACUUCCGUGGCAGUAAACCAUAACAAGAACUAGGCAGACCAUUUUCGUCAAAAAAAACUAGGCAGACCACAACUGCCAUGGAUACCAUUCCAUCAAGAUUAUCCCAGAUCAUGCAUGUCAAAGAAAGAAUUAUAACAUAAUAACAAAUAAUGAUACAAUGUACCAGGGGGUAGAACUAAACAUAGCACAUUCUGUCUCUGUUCCACACUUCCAUUUACCGGACUGUAACUACAAAAAUCAGUGAGCAAGAUAAUAACCAACAUGAAUACAAAAUCAAUCGACUGCAUACUUGGGCUUAGUUUCCCAUAACACCUUCUGCUCCAGCUGGCCCUUUGCCCAUCCAGUACUUGUAAGCAUAAACUGAAGACACGACCAGGGCGGCCAGGGCGAUGUAGACGAUCAUGGUCGGCCCGAUUUUAGUAGGGCUCUUCUUCUGCUUGCUCUGUGCCAGUAGUGCUCUUGGCUUGAUCUUCGCCAUGUUUCACUUCGGACAAUGCCAAGAAAAUAACUAGAAUCAGCAUAGUUGCAUAGGAAUUUUCUGUAAAGCACUGCUAUGAUUUCGGCAUUUCGCUGAACAGUUAUAAAACAUAGAAGGAUUUCAAUUGUACAUCAAACGUAAGUAAAACUGGACUAUAAGCUUAUGAACCGCGGGACAUGCAAGAUCAAUCAGCCAGGCAGGCACCAGGUCGUACAAAAAACUUAUAAACAUGCUAUUAGGGUGAUAUGGCACAUUUGCAUCCUCCAUGCGUCAAAACAAUGUAGUACUUUCUUUCUUGAUAGGAAAUCAAAACAAUGUACUGGUAACAUUUAACAGUUAAACAAGCAAAAUCAGAGUUCAUGCCAGUAGAUCCAUUCGUUAGGUUUAUUAGGCGAAGGAAUUAUUGAAAAGAAAGUACAGAAACUGAUGUUGUCAGGUCGAUUGCAGUUGCAGGUGUCAUCUGCUCCGGCUUAAAAUCAAAAUAAUAGAAGAGCCUGGUAGUAUUCAGAUCAGGGUCAUGGAAGUCCAUGCCUGAAUGGAAGCCAUGAGUGAUGGGUCCUGCACUUGAGGAACAGGGAUCGAAAACAGUGGCACGAAUUUCGGAGUUCGUCCAUCCAUGUCUCGAGCUUCGUUGUCUGAAGAACCCCACUCUUUUUGCAACGGCAGUACAAUUACACGCAGAAAUCGACAUUACUCACUGAAACCUAGACGGAAAACCGGGAUCUACCGCGGACAAUUAAGUAGCCGGAGGCGAUCCACUAGAACAAUUCGAGAUCCAGAAUUGCUCCACAGCAGCCGGAACCGAAAUAUUCAUUUGGCCGUGGCAGAAGGAAUCGGCGAUAGCAAGGAGAGUGCGGUCUCGGGAAUACCUUGAUCUCUGCACCGGCCGGGGAGUUCUCGCGAUCUGCUGCCGCGCUGAGGAGAUGGAGGUGGCGUCGGAGCGAUCUCGAGAGAGAGGGGAGUCCAGGCGAGGAUGACGAGGAUGCAAGCAAGGCUGUGCUGCGUCGUCUUUUGAAGGGGAAAAAAUAGGAAGGGGAGGAGAGCGUGGCCGGGGGUGUAGUUUGGCGCGGCAGGCAAGGGCACUACGGGAAACCAAAUUUUGAGGCGUGAAUGUCUGCACGUUACACGGGAUGUUUUUGACGACAAGAAGAAAAAUAUUAGUGCGCCCGCGCAAACCACACCAAAUAUUCCCUUAUUUUGACGUCGUCAAGAACUGUAUGCUACUGGCAAUCACGUCUAUCAGGACAUGCAAAUCGAUCUCGUCAAUCAGGACAAUUCCAAAAUUUGCCGUCCUGAUUAGUCAUAGCUAUCACGCCGCCGCGAUCCUCUCCUCGUCGUCGAACGUGCUGUGUUCCGCCUGCGUCACAAGUUCAAACAUGAAGCAUGUCAUCGCCCCCCAUCGUCUUCUCCUGCGAGCGUGUCGACGUGGUGCGAUGGCUUGCACGAUGACUCCGGCGACAUGGAAGGCUUCGGUUCAGAAGAGUGGGCCCAACGGGGUCGGACGACUUCGAGAUUUCGCUGUCCUCGAAUAUCGUCUUGUACCCAGAGUCUGAUGAUUUUGUAUGUCUUGCGGGUACUAAUUUUCGGUGUCUUGUUCUCGGAAAAAAACCCCCACUAAUUUUGGGGUUUGGAUCGGGCUGUGGAUCUGCACUAGAAGUUCAUGCCCGAUUCAUGCUGGUAGACAUGUGUUGCUGGAAUGAUAAAAUGAUUCCAAAACUCAUAAUUGUGGAUCUCUAAUUAAUUGCUGUUGGGUUAUUGAUCUUCCACAAUGUCAAGGUGAAUUUCCAGCACGCACGGAGUACAACUCAAGGUGAAUUUCGGCCACAAUGUUACCUUGCACCAUACGUGCUGCAUAGUGCAGCCAAGCGCGCACGCCUCUACGAAGCAAAUCAAGACAUCAAGCAAUGGUGAUUGAUUGUGUUGUGUGUGGAACUCGCCGCGGAGGCGAGGUAAUUGCAAGCGUCGUCCAGGAGUUCUAUCUUCCGAUGGCAUGGGCACGUGCUAUAUCCAGAAGCAAAGCAAGCAGUAUUAUUAACUGAGUGUGAAUCUAUAAGGUCACAACAAUUUCACAACCCACGUCCUAAUUUACUUACAAAUUUGGUCAAAUUUUAAGAAAUUUGACUUAGACAAGACUAGAGCAUGUUAUAUUUGGUUUAGCUCUCUUUCAAACAAACAAAUAUUGGAGUAACUAGGUUUGCACCCAAAUUUUCACCUUACAAAAAGAAGAGAAGGAAUACAUCGAUCGCAUAUUUCCACCCAUCCAAACUAAUGAAACUACUAUGCAGGAGCACGGUGAUUCGCACGUCAUUCAUUUCUUGAUCAAGUCGGCGGUGAAGGUGACGCCGGUGGACGGCAGCCACGCGAUCCCAUCGAUGAACCGCCGCACGGUGAAUCGGCCGGCCCACGCCGGGUCAAAGAUCACGUGGUACCCAGGCCACCUGACCCUCCCGGCGACCCCGGCCCCGGGCCCGAAGUUCCUGUACUCCCCAUAGAACACCGUCCCCAGCCCGGCAUUCCCGGCCCACUCCAACCACCCUUGCGCGCGCACGCCGGGGCCCAGGUAGGAUUCCAUGACGACCACCCGCGAGAAGGGCCUCCAGGGCCGGCCCAGGUAGGUCGGGUGCUGGGCCUGCACGACGCAGUUGUGGAGCGCGAACCCCGUGCUCUGGUUCGGGUCCUUGCGGCCCUGCGCCGUGACCGUGCCCGCCGUCUGGCCCGGGGCCAGCGGCAGCGUGGCGAGCAGCGUCCGCUGGAUGACCGCCGCGGCGUUGCCGAAGACGAAGUCGACGGUGCCGGAGACGCGGCAGUCGCGGUAGAACUGGCGGAGCGAGUGCGCGUAGAGCGUGUCCUGGUGGCCCUCGAGUGCCACGCGGUAGAAGGCGGACCGGUCCGAGUCCACCCGCAGCGCCACCGCCUGCCGCGCCCCCGGCCCCGCCGUGUUCCGGAUCGUCAGGUCCCGCGCCAGGAACCCCGCGCCCGACACCGCUGCACGCAAAGCAAAAAUACCAGAUUUUGUCACAAGUUGCACGUGCAUCUCGCUUGGAAUUUACUCUCGGCACCGCGCGGUUCUUUUACGUACCGACGGUGGCGCUGCGGAAGGUGGUCCAGCCGGAAGAGAAGCUGCGGCUGCCGGUGAUGACGGUCUCGCCCAUGCCCUCGCCGACGAGCGCCAGGUUGGUCUUCUUCUUGGUCACGUCCACGUUCUCGUGGUACACGCCGCGCUUCACGUAGAUGACGUACCUGCGUCGGCUGUGGCUCGGCGCGCGCGCCACGGCCUCGCCCACGGUCCGGUACCUGCCGCUCCCGUCCUGCGCCACAACGACAUCCACCCGCAUCGCCUUCUUCUUCUUCCCGCUAGACCCGCCGUGGGCGCGCGCCAGCUCCUCGUCGACGCUGUCCGUCACCCACGGCGGCAGCUCAUCAGCCGUGCUGUUCUUGCCGUGUUGGUGCAGAGGCAUGAUGCUGCGGAGCCGCUGGUGCAUGGCGAGGAGGUUGCCGACGAGCUGCGUGAGCCGCGCCACGGACGCCUCGACGGGGCGCAGCAGGCGGCCGUCCUUGGUGCCGUGGAAGCCCUGCACGCAGGUGUCCUGGUUGCCCAGCGCCGCGCUCAGCCACGCGUGCAGGCUCUCCUCGGCGGCCAUCGAUGCCGCCGAACGGGCACGCUCGUGCUGCUCCUUCUCUUCCGUCUCCGCGUCGACGACGGAGGCGUCGUCGGCCAUGGCGUCGAGCGACCACCCGAGCUCGUCCACGGAGUAACCCAGCAGCUCCACGCAGUCGCGCACGGCCAUCUCCUCGCGCGCGUGGUUGGACAGCGACGCCAGCCCGGCCACGGCCUCCGCGGCGCCCACGGCCUCGCCGAGCGUGUCGCGGAGCGCGGCGCGCAGGACCGGCACGGGCCCACUGCCUGCGCCGCCGCGCGCCGUAUCGAGGCGCGACACGCAGCCCUGCUCGCCCCCGGACGAGGAGGAGACGUUGAAGCACGCCUGGCGAAGCAGCGCGGCCUCGAAGGCCUCGGCCUCGCCCGGGCCGCGGAACGUGUACAGCCCGGAGAACGCCGCGGCGCCAUCGCUGCCGCGGGCAACAAGCUGGAGCGCCAGCAGCAGCACUACCAGCACUAGGCAGCAGGUGUCUUUACUGCCACGUGUCGUGAACGACGCCAUUGAUUGAUAGAGGGGGCGAAGUGCAUCGCCAUGGCCAAGGGACGUGCGUAUAUAGAUGGAUGCGCUCAGUGUAAGUGAUCUUAUCUGUCUUGGCGCAACCGGAGGCAAGGUAUAGUUUCUCGUGGAAGAAAGGUGUGCGAGGAUACAGGUCUUUAUGAACUACAGUAAUAUUCUAACUACUGUACACGGUCUUGAGGAAAAAGUGUGUUUCGAGCCGAAUGAUUGGCUCCGUUACACAGAUUAAUUAAGCCAUAGAGUGCAUUCGCCCCUUUUCGAUGGAACACACUUCACUGCGUAACAUGUGUAAGUUGAUCAUAAUAUAUUCCGAUUAGGCCGGCUCGGUGUUGCGAGUGUCGGCAGAUACUUGGAAAACUGCUUGGAAGCAAGCAAAUAUGCAACGCGAAGACUUCUCCAAAUUGGGGUGAUGACUCGAGCAUGCAGAUUGUGCCAUGCUUCUCGUGCAAUUUAUCGUAGUCGCGGCAGCUGCACCGGCGCUGGACGCACGGACACUCAAGGUGGUGGAUUCGCGUGUUUUGCUUGGCGAUGCAGGCUCUUCGAGGUUCGUUUUGUUAGUCGGUUAUGAUUCCUAGGACCUUAUGCUGUAAAAAAAAACUUAUUAGCACCAAAAUUAAAAGUGUUUGAUUAGAAAUAUUCCAUGAACUCAACUUCACUAGAGUACUAGUUUUACCCAUGUUCAAAGCCUUGAUCCAUAAAUCAAGAAAAAAAAGAGAGUUUUCAGUUAAUCAACUAAAAAUUCAUGAAAAAGUGUUACAACAAGCUUCAAAGUCGUCAUAAAACAUGGCAACACCUCGAACACCACUAGCCAACCUUGCUACCGGCACACAAUCUAUAUAUCAUUGUCAUGACAAAUCAUCACAUUCAAGCACAUGCUAAACAACCGGUCACUCGCGCCGACAACCAGCAAAUAUGAUUUCGAUGACAAGUGAAAGGGAGUAUGCAAGGCUUGUGUCCCACAACACCACCACAACGAAGAAGGAAGACACGGAGGCACAAUUGACACGUCGAAAGUCAGCCGUGCCCCAAGCAUAAAUUGUUUACCGUCAUUGUUGCCACACAAUUUAGCACCGUAAUAUGCCCGAGGAAGUCGCCUUGGCACCUCGGCGGCAAGUCAUGGCCUUGUCUCAUAAUCUGUCUCCAUGAUUUGACCAGCCAUCCAAACCCAUCAAUUACCAAAACUGAACUAAUUACAAAAGUAAUCAUAUUAACAUCACGUCAUGACUAUUAAUAAAAUUUCACCAACUAUGGAAAUCCUCGAUUAAUUACAAAUAAAUCCAGUAAAUUCAAAUUAGAGAUAAGUUUUCAUUAUUAGUCGAUACAUGCAUUGCACGGACACAAUGACUAAUGAAAUAGUGUGAGUGAGUCCUUUCAAUCUACAAAUCAAACGGCGACGCAUGAAUAUUUUCCAGGAAUUCUAAUUUUCCGGAUUUUGUAUGCAAUUUAUCCUUGAGUAAAUUUCGCAAAACCACAGUUUUUGGGAUAGUUGUCUCGCUGAAUCACAGUUAACGAAAAACCUUUUGCAGAACCACACUUUUUGAGUCAAGUUGUCUGAAACAAGGUGGUUUCGCGGUUUUACUUGAUUUUUUUACCCGUGGGGCCCACCUGUCAAACGCCACGCCGGCCCCGAAAACUUGCAGCAAUGAGAAGAGGGCUGGGGCUUUAAUCACGGGCUAACGGGUCAGGUCGGGUUGGGGCUGACGUGGCGUACAACAGGUGGACCCACAUGUAAGAAAUCAAGCAAAACCUUCAAAAGACUCGUUUUCGGGCUGACUGAGACAACUUGACUCAAAAUGUGUGGUUUUGUGAAUGGUUUUCCGUUAACUAUGGUUUAACGACACGACUGACACAAAAACCGUGGUUUUGUGAAAUUUACUUUCUCUUUUUUAGAAUAACCUGUAACUUUAUUCAAUCAUAAGAAACAUUACAGGUACAAUGCUUUGGAUCAUAAACUCUAGAAACUAUAAGGUAACUCCUAUAAUUAAGAACAAUGAAAUCUCUUAAAGACAUCUUCUCCGUGAUAUCAUACUUUGCAACAUGAAAUUUUGCUGAGGCUUCAACAUAGAGACUGCAAUCAGACUGUAGCAGCAACAUCGUUACUGGUAUCCAUGCACGAACUUUACUACCUUUGAAGGUUUCGAAAAGCCCCUUGAGUCGCUCAUCAAAAAAGAUGAGAAGCCUUGAGAGUUGAACGUACUUGGACCGGGGAUGAUCCCCUUAACGUGUAGGUCGUCGAACCACAAGAUCUUCAUCAGAACGCCAGAGAAGUAAUUCAAAAUUACAAAAGAUAAAACAACAAAAGCACCAUGACACACUAACAAAAACUCAAAGAUACGUAUAAAUGGAUCUGCGAGUACACAAACCCAAGAUCCACAAGAUCGGGUAUACUAAACUCACGGGGAUUAAAAAUCUCUGACUCCCCAGCAACGCCCAUUGAGGCACCACCACAGCAAAGGAAAAACUAGAGUACCUUUAUUCACGACGGCAUCAUAACCUUCGCCAUUGCGUUGCCGAUCAGAACCAAACAAUUGAAAUAGGCAAACACUUCUGUAUACUCUUAGGAGGAACUAAGGGGGACCUCGCAACGCCAAGCCGGCGGCCGGAGCGAGGGAAACACUAAAUCUUCAACCAUGACGGCUAGGGCAGAGCCCUCAUGGAAAACCUACGAGAUUGGAAGAUGGAAAACACCGAUUUGUGAAAUUUACUUUUUUUUAAGCGAAAGACACGGCUUUAUUAAUUCAAAAAUAUGGGUACAAUAUUGUUCUAGGGCUUAUCAAGCCACACAUGCCUGCCAUGCUGGAGCGAUAAAGAGCUCCUAACUAAACUAUGGGAAGCAUCACUAAAAAAUUAUUCAUGCUGGGCCAGUUAUUUGCUUUUGGUUCUGACUUCUUGGGCCAGGGUGGCGUGGCCUCCCUGCCCUUGCUUUAUUUUCAGCUCCUCUAUUCAAUCCUCAAUUGUUUCCUGUGCCGCACCAUGGCCUCCCAUGAUCUGCUGCCGCCGCUGAAGAAGAAGAAAUCCCCAACACUCGCGCCCACCACCAUUAGCAACCUCAGCAGCGACAUCCUUUGAGAUAUUCCUCCGCCUCCCCUCACAUGCAGCUCCUUCCUCGAUGCCGUCCGUUCGUCACCCUCCUUCUGCAGUCGCUUCCGCGUGCUCCAUUCACCUCCCCUACUCGGUUUCUUCAUCGAUACCACUGAAAAAGCUACACCUGACUUCUCUGCCCUCUGCCGGCAAUCCGAUCUGGACCUCGCGGCUGCCAUCCGCGGCACCGAUUUUUUUCCUCACCCGGCUACCGGACGACGACAAGGACGCCGUGCCCAAUUGGUCAAUUAGCGAUUGCCGCGAUGGAUGCGUCCUUCUCGUCAAUUGGAGCACAAAACAGAUGGCUGCCUACAAUCCCCUCACACGGGCCCUGGAUCUCUUCCCCACACCGCCCGACCAGCUUUGUGCUGGUGACCUGUAUGUUGAUUUCCAGAGACUCUCCUACGAAGAGGACCGUGGUUCGUUCUGCAUUCUGUGCAUCUGUCAACAGGUGUGGGGAGCGUGCGCCGUUGUCUUUGCAUCACACGCCAGGGAGUGGAAGGUUUUCCCAUGGUAUGUUGAUGACAAGGUCUGGCUUCAGAGUGGUACAUUGUUGAAUGGUUUUCUCUAUUGGACAGUUAAAGGCCGUGACGAUGGAAUUCUCUCAAAUUGAUCUGCCAUCCGUGAUUGAUCAUGGGCAAGAAGCGUUAGGGGUUUGUGAGACCAAGUAUUGAAAGCUCUGUAUGGUCCAAGUAAUUGUAUUGACUCUGGUUGUUUGGGUCUGGAGAGCUGAUGAACAAGGUGUCAAUAGAUGGAUACUGGACUAUGGAUUUCUGUUGAAGAAGAUUGUUGAGGCGGCUCAGUGUUCACUAGACGAUUAUGAUGAAGUGAAGAUUGUGGCAUUGUCAAUGGCUAUGUCUACUUGUCGACUUACCACUACCAGGUGACAAGUUCUUCCUGCUGGCUACUAUCUGUUUGCUUGGAAACAUCAGAGCUGGAUAAGCUCUGUCCUACUCGCGUUCGCCCUGGUGUUUCAUAUCCAUACAUCAUGGCGUGGCCUCCUUCACUGGUACGCAAUAAGGUGAACCCUCAACUUAACGAUGCUUGACUAGUAGGACUAAGAAAACUGUAACCAAGAAGUCAUAUUGUUGUUCUUUAACUUUAGUUAUUAAUAACUGAUGGCAUGCCAUGGUUCUAUAGAUGUAGUCCUAGUUAGAUUUACUCAUCUUUAGAAUAAAUCAAGAUAUCAAGGUGUUGUGGAAAUUGCAAGUCUUUUGUGUGUCAUAUUGAGCAUUUGAGCAUACUCCCUGCAUAUUGUAAGUGUCACAGGUUUAUGUGAAUUCUCAGCAUAAACUAAAAGGAUAACUAAUAUUUCUCGACCAAGAGCACUGGGCCACAGUUGCUAUUAUUCUGAAAGAAACUGAAUCAAAGUUUUGAACUGUUGAAUUAUAUGAAGCCAGCAAAAGACAGGAAGAAAAGAAAUAUGCAAUGCAUAUCAUGUAAGAGUUUCAUAAGUUCCAUAUAUCCGAAUAAGUAGAGUAACUUGAUCUGGCCCAUAGUUUCUUGCCAUUCGAUCCAAUGUUAUCGUCAUCCCAGCUUUGCAAUCCGUUCUUCUUUCAGCUCUAAAACGUUUUGGCUGAUUUUCCAAUGUUUGCCUUUUUCUCCGAAGGCCCUCAUUGGAACAAACAAAUCUACAUGAAGUCGUUUCACCAUCAAACUUGCUAACAUUUUUAUUUCUUUUUCUCACAUAAAACCCUGCACGACCCCCAUAGGCAACCCAAAACACCCAAGCUUCGUCUGGAUUUCUGAACCUCAUACCGACUUGGGUAUCCGUUUGUCAAUUUCUUCCAUUGCAAAACACUUGGGAGUGCAGAACACUCACAAUUGCAUAGCACAGCAAUCAAAUUCUGCAAAAUUGCGCACCACAACAUCCCAAUCAUCAAGAAUUUGCUCAAAUAGGCACACAUAAACAAAGUGCAUGACACAGCACCAAAAUCAGCAAACUAGGAAGAUGGUACCUUCUGUUCUUGGAGUCCUCCGACGCCCGGAGAUCGCUGGGCACUGUGGCGCAGGAGGCCGUCAGAGCGGGAAGGAGAGAGUCGCAGCGGGGGCGGAGGCGGAGGAGGCCGUCGCAGCGGAGGCGGCCGUCGGAGCAAGGGCGGAGGCGGCCGUCGCAGUCGGAGCGGGGCGGAGGCGGCCGUCGCAGCGGGGGUGGAGGCGGAGGACCGAGUGGCGGCUUGCUCUCCUCCCUCUCCCGCGCGGCGCAGCGGCGGCGGCGGCGGCGACGACGGGAGAGCGCGCGCGGGAGGCGACGUUUGGCGUGAGAAGCCGAGAACUCCCGCGAUGGAGUUUUUUCGACUGUGCAUUCGUUGACUCGGUAAAACAUGAGGUGCUCUGUUUCAAUUUCUGCCGGCCGGCCGAUUUAAAUGGGCGGUGGAUGCUGGCCGCGAGGCAACCCGUGCCUAGACAGAGCCAAGGUGCUGGAUCUCAGUCCGUCCGGUAGUCCCUGCCCUUGCUUUAUUCCAGCUCCUCAAUCUUCAACCAUUUUCUGUGCCGCAUCAUGGCCUCCCACGAACUGCCGCCACCGCCGAUGAAGAAAUCCCCAGCACUCGCCCCCACCACCAUUAGCGACCUCAGCGGCGACAUCCUAUGUGAGAUAUUCCUCCGCCUCCCCUCGCUCCCUAGCCUCAUCCGGGCCGCGCUCACUUGCAGCUCCUUCCUCGAUGCCGUCCGUUCGUCCCCCUCCUUCCGCCGUUGCUUCCGCGCGCUCCAUCCGCCUCCCCUGCUCGGUCUCUUCAUCGAUAUGUACGAAAGCGCCAUACCUGCCUUCUCGCCCCUCCGCCGCCGCUCCGAUGCAGACCUCGCCGCCGCCAUCCGUGGCGCCGAUUUCUUCCUCACCGGCCUACCGGACGAUGACAAGGACGCCGUACCCAAUUGGUCAAUUAUCGAUUGCCGUGAUGGAUGCGUCCUUCUCGUCAACUGGAGCACGGAACAGAUGGCCGCCUACAAUCCCCUCACACGGGCUCUGGAUCUCUUCCCCACGCCGCCCGCCCAGCUCUGCGAUGGUGACCUGUAUCUUGAGUUCCACAUCCUCUCCUACCAAGAGGACCGUGGGUCGUUCCGCAUUCUGUGCGUCUGUGAAGAGCAGUGGGGGGCGUGCGUCGUUGUCUUCUCAUCGGACGCCAGGGAGUGGCAGAUUUUCCCGUGGUAUGACGAUGACAUGGGCUGGCAUCACACUGGUAGGUGAAUGGUUUCGUCUAUUGGACAGAUGAAAGCCGAGACCAUGCACGUGUGCUGGACAUUGCAACACUGGAAUUCUCUCAAAUCGAUCUGCCGCAGCUGGUUUUUGAAGGGCAAGACGCGUUUAGGGUUGGUGAGGCCAAGAACGGAAAUCUCUGUAUGACCUCUUUGGUUCAAUUGAAUUUGUUUGUUUGGCUCUGGAGAGCUAAUGACCAAGGUGUUGAGACAUGGAUGCUGGACAAUGCAUUUGAAUUGAAGAAGAUUGCUGAGGCGGCCAAGUGUUCACUAGAGGAUAACAGUGCACUGAAGGUUGUGGCCAUUGUCGAUGGCUGUGUUUACUUGUCUACUUACCACGAGACACGCUAUGAUUCUCCUUGCUGUUACUAUCCUUCUGCUUGGAAACUUCGGAGCUGAAUAAGCUCUGUCCUACGCGCUUUCACCCGGUGUUUCAUAUCCCUACAUCAUGGCUUGGCCUCCUUCACUGGUACGCACCAAGGUGAACCCUCGACUUAACGGUGCUUGAAUAUGAGGGAAGAAGAAAAGUAUGACCAAGAAGUUAUAUACUCUAUGCCAUGAUUCUGUAGAUGUAAUCCUGGUUAGAUGUACUCAUCUUUAGAAUAAAUCAAGAUGCCAAGGUGUUGUGGGAAUUGCAAGUCAUUUUUGUGUGUCAUAUUGAGCAUAUUAAUAUUCAUUCUUCCAUUCCCUGCAUAUUGCAAGUAUCAAAAGACUUGCGGAUUUUCAGCAUAAACUAAAUGGAGUAACAGAUAUUUCUAGACCAAAGAGCACUAGGCCUCAGUUGCUAUUAUUCUGAAUGAAACUGAAUCGAAGUUUUAAACUGUUGAAUUAUUCGAAUCCAGCAAAAGAGACAAAGAAAAGAAAUACACGUAAGAGUUUCACAAGUUUCAUAUAUCCGAAUAAGUAGAGUAACGUGAUCUGGCCCAUUGGCUUCUCUUUGCCAUCGUUCUACAGCUUCCAGACAAAGAUUACUGAAGAUCAAUUUGCAUCAACCAUACUGUAACAGUUAGACCAGAAAUGAGCUUUUUCUUUGUCACUGUUUCUCUUGAUCACACGGGUGCAUUAAUAGGAACUGCAAAAGAGUUCCUCAGCACCACCGAAAUUACAGUGUUCAUACCUGGGCAUUAUCUUAUUUACGAUUUUUCAGAUUAUUGCCAGAUAAGAUGCUAUCAUGCAUAGAUAACUUAUAUAAUUGUUUAAGGUAACUAGGUCCCUGCAAGUUCUUGAAUGAGACUUUUUUUUCCCUAGAAUACAUUCAAGCGGAUGUAUCAUAUAUUGAAUGAGACUAAUGUGAGAGGUUAUCUCGUAGUGUCCAUGAUUCUUGAAUGAAAAGUUCAGGUGAAGACAUUGGAGAUUGUUGUAUCUGUUUGUUCUAGGCUACAACAUUAUUUCAAGGAAGCCUGCUAAAAAAAUCUAUUGCCCUCGCUUUCUUUGCCUGCUAGUGCUGCAGAACGAUUUUCCCCCUCUUUAUAGAUUGUGUAACUUUGCUUGAUACCAUUGAAGAAGGUGAUCUUAGAUAUGCAAGCUCAAUACUUGUUGUCAAGAUGCUCAGCAGCAUUGCUAGUACUGUCUGGGCAAAAGCCGACCCCGAGUUCAUCGUAAGCACAUAUGUAUUGGCAAAAAAAAUAAUGCACAAGUUUCUUCACCUCAAACAUAAUAGAUAGCCAAGGAAAUAUGAUGGUGCAGAUUCAUGUCAAAAGGUCUUGCUCAAUCAGUUCUGUAGUUCAACACACAUCAUAUCUGCAGGCAGUUCGACGAUUUGGUCGGCACCGGUGGGAUGGACCUCGGGCAUGUCAGAACUCAGAACCGAAGCGAAGUCGUCUCUCAGAAAGGCACGGGACAUGUCAAAAGGGAUUGAGCACCGGAGUGUUGGCAACCGCCACCUAUUCCAGGAUGACAUUGCCACUGAAGUCACUCUUUUUUUUGCCCAGGUCCGCCAUAGCCAGUCUAGUGUGCAGAUGCAAGAUGAGAACCAGAGAAGAGAAAAACGGAGCAAUUAUCGCAGGACUCACCAAAAGACACGAUCGACUAGGAAGAUGAUACUCCCUCUGUUCCAAAAAGAUUGGCACAGGAGGGAGUACCUUAUUUUCUGAUUAAUGACGCGGCAAUAGAUUAGAUACAGCAAAUCCGUUUUGCACUGGGACAUAAAUUAAUAACCCACUAGUAUCACACCUUAAAUUAACCCACAUAGAACACCGUUUUUCUAUGUAGGGGGUGUAAAAAUCUUAGCCGGUUUGCAAAAUAUAAGGCGCGCAGCGUCUUACCCGUCCACGCGCCCAGCGCGACCUGAAAAAUCACAGCAGGCAGUUUCCUAAUGGUUGCAUGCAUGCAUUAGAUUCACUUCUGCUGAGUAUUGAACGGUGCGAUUUUUUUUCUUUCAAAGUUCCAUGCGGCUCUCUGCUGCUGGUCAAAGGCAGUGAUCAAUGCAAAUAUAGCAGUUUUUGUCGAGGUUCUCCACCGACAACAAUGCUCGGUUAAAGCUAGAUCACAAGAUUUGAUUCUGGAAUUUGUAACAAAUAGUGCAAUAUUUUUAGUAUUUUUGUUUUACUUCACAAGCAGACAUCAAAGACAGGGCAGAUCUACAUUGACAAAUAACAGGGACAGCAAGUAAUCUCGCGAGCUAACAAAUAAGACAAGGAUAGAAGCAAAUUGUUUAGGUAUGGGAAAGAGUACAUAACAGGGCACAGACAAGUAUACUAUCACAGAAAUUUAAACCACAAUCACUAGUACAUAUUACACACAAUUCUCAGGAGAAAAGACUCAGUAGUUAACAAGAUCUCACACUGACAUUUAAACAAACAAGUUGCAGGUGCUCAAAAUCAGCACAAGUUCUCUCAAUUCAGUUCACACAAACAGCAAGCAACAGGGGGAAAAGGGAGAGAGAUUUAGAUGGGGAUUAACUCAGGAGAUGGGGCAGCAAGGAGUUGAGGAAGGGAAGAGGGUUGCAGUGGCGCUCGUGCUUGCCGGAGGUGCUUGUUCUUCAGUUGCUGCAGCAGCUUGAGGGUACGAGGAGGAGCAGCAGCUUGGAGACGAGGAGGAGCAGUAGUAGUGGAUCGGGAAGGGGCAGCAGCUACUUCGUCGGAGGCGCGCCGCCACGCUGGCCUGGCCGCGGCGGCGGCCGGUGGUGGAGAAGGAGGUCAGGGGAAGGAGAAGUGCCAGGCACCAAGGGGAUCGAGGGCAGAACUAGGGAUUUAAUCCCUUUGGCAAUUUUUGCAUCCAAGCCCUUCUCUUCUCUUCUUCUUUCGCAAGUUGGUCUUUUUUUUCUUCACUUCAGCCCUUUCUUUCUUCUUUCCUUAUGCUCAGGUCCUUCGGUGUAUAGGUGCAUCAGCAGCUCGUCCAAAAUGAGAAGAGUAUGUGCAUUUUCGCACUUAACUGCAAAAGAGAAGCG
Molecule: long non-coding RNA, 23356 nt
Filed under: Brachypodium distachyon (stiff brome)
Lineage: Eukaryota; Viridiplantae; Streptophyta; Magnoliopsida; Poales; Poaceae
Description: long non-coding RNA (BDIS_LNC001676)
Source: RNAcentral